RNAcentral lists this transfer RNA (69 nucleotides) under Dipodomys ordii (Ord's kangaroo rat). It matches the Rfam family "tRNA". Rfam says of the family: Transfer RNA (tRNA) molecules are approximately 80 nucleotides in length. Their secondary structure includes four short double-helical elements and three loops (D, anti-codon, and T loops). Lineage: Eukaryota; Metazoa; Chordata; Mammalia; Rodentia; Heteromyidae. The record is from Rfam by way of RNAcentral.
GGCAAAGUGGCUCAGUGGUAGAGCACUUGCCUUUCAUGCAUGAGGCCUUGAUUUGAUUCUUCAGUACCA